GAAGAUGAAGCUCAGCAGUAGAGUGCUUGCCUAGCACAUGUGAGGCUCUGGGUUCAAUUCCCAGUACUUCCA
This 72-nucleotide transfer RNA is filed under the name Ictidomys tridecemlineatus (thirteen-lined ground squirrel). RNAcentral describes it as "Spermophilus tridecemlineatus (thirteen-lined ground squirrel) tRNA". It matches the Rfam family "tRNA". From Rfam's summary of the family: Transfer RNA (tRNA) molecules are approximately 80 nucleotides in length. Their secondary structure includes four short double-helical elements and three loops (D, anti-codon, and T loops). Further hydrogen bonds mediate the characteristic L-shaped molecular structure. tRNAs have two regions of fundamental functional importance: the anti-codon, which is responsible for specific mRNA codon recognition, and the 3' end, to which the tRNAs corresponding amino acid is attached (by aminoacyl-tRNA synthetases). tRNAs cope with the degeneracy of the genetic code in two manners: having more than one tRNA (with a specific anti-codon) for a particular amino acid; and 'wobble' base-pairing, i.e. permitting non-standard base-pairing at the 3rd anti-codon position. Lineage: Eukaryota; Metazoa; Chordata; Mammalia; Rodentia; Sciuridae. The record is from Rfam by way of RNAcentral.